RNAcentral lists this ribosomal RNA (483 nucleotides) under uncultured bacterium. RNAcentral describes it as "partial 16S ribosomal RNA". It matches the Rfam family "Bacterial small subunit ribosomal RNA", at positions 28 to 523 of the family's 1533-position model. The record is from RNAcentral.
GACGAACGCUGGCGGCGUGCUUAACACAUGCAAGUCGAACGAUGAAGCCGGAGCUUGCUCCGGUGGAUUAGUGGCGAACGGGUGAGUAACACGUGAGCAAUCUGCCCUUGACUCUGGGAUAACUGCGGGAAACUGUAGCUAAUACCGGAUACGACACCUUGGGGCAUCCCAGGGUGUGGAAAGAAUUUCGGUCAAGGAUGAGCUCGCGGCCUAUCAGCUAGUUGGUGAGGUAAUGGCUCACCAAGGCGACGACGGGUAGCCGGCCUGGGAGGGUGACCGGCCACACUGGAACUGAGACACGGUGCAGACUCCUACGGGAGGCAGCAGUGGGGAAUAUUGCACAAUGGGCGAAAGCCUGAUGCAGCAACGCCGCGUGAGGGAUGAAGGCCUUCGGGUUGCAAACCUCUUUUAGCAGGGAAGAAGCGAAAGUGACGGUACCUGCAGAAAAAGCACCGGCUAACUACGUGCCAGCCGCCGCGGUAA